This is a long non-coding RNA of Perognathus longimembris pacificus (Pacific pocket mouse), 485 nucleotides long. RefSeq lists it as uncharacterized. The record is from RefSeq and is a predicted model, not a curated record. The transcript is spliced from 2 exons. NCBI's taxonomy places the organism in Eukaryota, Metazoa, Chordata, Mammalia, Rodentia, Heteromyidae.
AGUUCAAACUCUAGGACCAGCAAAAAAAAAGAAACACAGAGAAGGGGGGAGAGGGAGAGAGAUAAGCGGUGUAGCUGAAAUGGUAAAGUCCAGCCAUGAAUGAAAAAGCUGAUUGAGAGAAUGAGGCCCUGAGUUCAAAGCUCUAGUAAAAACAAAGAAGGAAAAAGGAGAAGAAGGGGAGAGAAGAAGAGGGGAGUAGAAGGGAGGGAAAAGAAGGGAGUUACAAAAGUAUACUUUCAGUUGAUACCACUUUAACAUGUAUCAUAAACACAGGCAUCUAUCUGAACUGUACCAUCCAAUAGUCUAAUACAGCCAUGUGUGGCUACUUAAAUCCAUCAGCUUAAGUUUAAAACCUAGUUUCUCAGCCUUAUGAACCACAUUUCAAGGGCUGAAUAGCCCCAAAGCCCUAAUGGCCACUGCAUAGGAAAAAAUGCAGACAUCCAUAUCUACCACUGCAGAAAGCUCUACUGGACACUGCUCCUGUA